CUGGAGCACCUGCGGCUGCAGAAUGCUGCCGCGCACCUCUCCGAGGACGAGAGGGGCCUCCUGCAGCCCCAGGUCGGCGCCAGGCCCCCCGUCCUCCUCCAUCCCGGCGGGCCCCUGGGUGUGACGGAGCUGAGCUCCACACAAGGACCCGGCGCGCCGGCCGCCGACACGGAGCAGGUGGUGCAGCUGAGGAAGAGGAUGGAGGUGAUUGAGGAGGGGAUGACGAAGGUGAGGAGCCGUCCUCAGCAUCCUGCCCUGCACAGCGCUGUGUCCGUGCUGUGUCGUGUCAUCGUCCUCGGAAACGUCUCCUGAGACGGGACUGGAGAACCUGGCAUAGCACAGAGCCGUAUUUCUAGUUCAGGUGACAGUAACUUAGCUGUGGGGUUUCGUUAGGCUGCAGUACGUUAACAUUGCCACUGGCCAAAGGUGGUUUUGGUUACUUUUUAUCUGUCCCUGGUGCUCCAGCAAUGUAAACUUUGAGAUUCCGAUUUGCUGGGUUCCUCCUCUCUUUCCAAGGGUCCUUACAGCUCUACCUGGGGUUGUCAGGGACUGCAUCCCAUAACCUGUCUGCCCUGCAAUGCAGAAUAGAGGCGACAGAUGACAGCAGAGCUGCCUCGUGGGCAAGCUGUCCCCACGCCAAAGCAGAGUCCUUCCUGUAGGAGACGAGGCCACGGCACAUGUUCUGUUUCUUUGGCCAUUAAAGUUCAAGCCCUAUGUUGGAAACAUGACACGUGACAUCAGAACUGCCUCCAUCGCAUGAGGCACACGUUGUGUUGUGGUGGCUCUGUGUCUGCUGACAGGUACUUCAGGUUGCCCAGGGAAGGUGUAGGUACCCCAUUCCUGGAGGCACUCAAGGCCAGGCUGGAUGGGAUCCUUGGCAGCCUGAGCUAGUGCUUGUUUGGCAACCCUGCCCAUGGCAGUGGGGUUGGAGCUUGAUGAUGUGGCAGCCCCUCUGGGUCUGAGCUCUGUGUCCCAGAGGCCCCUCCAGUCCCAGGUGCUGCAUGCUGCUCAGAGGCACUGGCUGGGCACUGUUCCUCAGGUCACAGACACACUACAGGAGGUGCUUACCAACACCUGCUCCCUGAAAACCACCAUCCAGGCCUUCCAGGAGGAGCUGCAGCUCCUGAAGGACAGUUUCCAGAAGACUGGUCUGGAGGAGCUGCGAGAGCGGGUGGUACAGCAGGACAAAAACAGCCACCUCCUGCAGAACAUCCUGAGCCAAAUGGCAGAGGUGCGGCAGCAGCUGAGCUCCUUCCCCUGGCAGACCGGAAUGCUGUGCUCGUUCUGCAGGCUGCCUGCUGGUGAGAAGCUCUCCAGCCAGGACCUCAUCCCUGAGGCCUCACAGGAGCCAGCCCUCGAGGCCCCAUGCAGGCUGAGCGGAGUGUUGGAGCAGCACAAGGGUGUGGAGACCUGCAUCACCUGCAGCAAGAGCACGCUUCAGCAGCACGCUGGCCUGGGGACUUCAGAGGAUGUGGCCACGGAGAAGAUGCAGGGAGAAGUAAGGCACCUGUAGGACAAAGGAGAGAAAGCUCCCAGUUGUCCAGGCCUCCGAGGUGCUGCCCAGUGGCCUGGGGGCUGCAGCCCAUUGCCUCACUCACCAGGAGCACACUGGAGCAACUCAUGAGCCCACCUCAUGUGACUCCCUUGUGCCUUACACAGGCCAUGUUUUAUCCUCGCCAGGGGUCAGAUUUUGGCAAAGAGGUGCUGAACCAGGUAGAACAGCUGCAAGAGCAAUGCACAAGACUCCAGGAGGCUGCAGAGCACCUAUGGGGUGACUCCAAGGACACUCAGGUGAGUGUGGUCACCAGCUCAGCUCAGGAGCCACUGGUGCUGUAGUAAGU
Chrysolophus pictus (golden pheasant) is the source of this 1841-nucleotide long non-coding RNA. Lineage: Eukaryota; Metazoa; Chordata; Aves; Galliformes; Phasianidae. The record is from Ensembl.